CAGUACUAGACAGAGACAAAGAUGGUGUUAUCAGUAGAGAUGAGAUGAUGGAUUAUUUUCUUAGUGCCAAUACUUCACUGAGAGAGAGUUUCAAGCACAAUUUUGUAGAGCACACGUUCAUUGGUACACAAUACUGCCAGCACUGCAAAGGAGUGUUAAAAGGUAUAGUCCGUCAAGGUGUUCGUUGUAAGGAUUGUGGUAUCAGUUGUCACAAACACUGUAAAGACUAUGUUGUGGUUGAUUGCAGCAAACACACCGAAAAGAAAAGUA
Molecule: long non-coding RNA, 270 nt
Organism: Amphimedon queenslandica
Lineage: Eukaryota; Metazoa; Porifera; Demospongiae; Haplosclerida; Niphatidae
Exons: 3
Source: RefSeq, a predicted model, not a curated record